UCGAGAAUCUUUCGCAAUGGACGAAAGUCUGACGAAGCGACGCUGCGUGAACGAUGAAGGCCUUCGGGUCGUAAAGUUCUUUCGCGUAGGAACAAGAAAAGGAUGUGAAUAGCAUUCUGAUUUGAGGGUACUACGAUAAGAAGCACCGGCUAACUCCGUGCCAGCAGCUGCGGUAAUACGGAGGGUGCAAGCAUUAAUCGGAAUUAUUGGGCGUAAAGGGCGCGUAGGCGGAUGUAUAAGUCAGAUGUGAAAUUCCGAGGCUCAACUUCGGAACUGCAUUUGAAACUAUACGUCUAGAGGAUUGGCGGAGAAAACGGAAUUCCACGUGUAGCGGUGAAAUGCGUAGAUAUGUGGAAGAACACCUGUGGCGAAAGCGGUUUUCUAGCUAUUUCCUGACGCUGAGGCGCGAGAGCAAGGGGAGCAAACAGGAUUAGAUACCCCGGUAGUCC
Molecule: ribosomal RNA, 449 nt
Filed under: uncultured bacterium
Lineage: Bacteria
Description: bacterial SSU rRNA
Rfam family: Bacterial small subunit ribosomal RNA
Source: RNAcentral